This 408-nucleotide long non-coding RNA is filed under the name Meleagris gallopavo (turkey). RNAcentral's name for it is "lncRNA (ENSMGAG00000018332.1)". Lineage: Eukaryota; Metazoa; Chordata; Aves; Galliformes; Phasianidae. The record is from RNAcentral.
AAUAAUUUUAGUUUAUCCUUGCAGGUAUUGAAUUUACUGUCAGAAAGUAGAAGCUGUUGGCCAACAGUGUCUUAACAGAAGGCUACACAGUCUGCAUCUACAAGCUAGCUGUUCAGCAAUAGGAUACUAAGUCAUGGAUCAAAGCUUGUUAGCAGAGUUACUCCCUACCAAUGGCUCUCUGUCUUACGAGAAAGGUACUGUGUUUUACUAUUUGCUGUCUAUGUUAUAGCCAUUCUGAGAUUUUGCAGUAACUUUGGGAAGGGCUGUGGCAUGUCAAGUUUGACCACCCCUUUAUUCUAAUUUAUUAGUCUGCUCAGAGUUGGCCCAAGAAAGCUUAGUAUUGCUUGCCAAGGAGGUAUAUAUUAUUGUUUGCCAUAACUGCAGUGCAGUAAUUUUGUUAUUUCUACU